CUCCGCCGUGACCCGCCGCCUCCUGCCCCUCGGUCAGCCACCUCAGCCCCCUUGGAAACUGAACGCCGGGAGGUCCUCUUUUGUCUCUGUAUCUCUAGCAACUAGCUCGGUAUCUUGUGCAUAGCAGGUGCUUCAGAAAAGCUUGUUGAAUUGAUGGAUCUUGAGAACAGUGGUAUUCAGGAAGGUGGUGCUGGGAAGGAGAAGAAGGAUGGGAUGAGAUCCUCAUGCCUCCUAAAAGAGAAGAAAACACAAGAAGACCAGAAGUAAUCCCAGAAAAGCUCAAUAGCAUUGAAGGUUGCAACUUGAUCCUAUUAUAUACUUUAAAAAAAAAAACCAGACUGUAUGUAAGAGACUUGCAGCUUCAUGUACAAUUCUCUUUUUCUGUUCUACUAUGUA
Molecule: long non-coding RNA, 396 nt
Organism: Vombatus ursinus (common wombat)
Lineage: Eukaryota; Metazoa; Chordata; Mammalia; Diprotodontia; Vombatidae
Exons: 3
Source: RefSeq, a predicted model, not a curated record